Long non-coding RNA from Homo sapiens (human), 491 nucleotides. Ensembl annotates it as FOXD3 antisense RNA 1. Its record names the gene FOXD3-AS1. NCBI's taxonomy places the organism in Eukaryota, Metazoa, Chordata, Mammalia, Primates, Hominidae. The record is from Ensembl.
GGCUGCGGGCUGCAGAAACUGUCCGGAGAGUGGCACGCUAAGAAUGGGCGCGAUGGUGGCAGUCGUCCGGCUCAGCGACAGCGGUUGGUGUGGACAAAUCCUCCAAGAUUUAACUUCCAAGAAAACCGGCGGCGGAGCGGGUGGAGGAGGCGAGGAUGUGUGGCCAAUGCACGCGGAGUGCAAGGCCGCCUAGUUGGGAGCCGCAAGAGCCUGCCUGGUGUGGCAGGCACACGGAACCCAAUCCCUGUCUGUCCGCUGCGGCCUGGGAGGGGAGCGCCGGCCUCACCAGAGGAAGGAGCACGAGGGGAGGAGUUCCGAGAGGAAAUAAUUAGUGAAAUAUUUGCAGAAGAUGCUGGGAUGUGGAUUUAAUUCCGGAUGGACAGUGGUGCUUCUGAUUCCCUCAGUCUGUUUCCCCACCCACGAUCUCCUCUUUCCUUGGCCUAGACACACCAAAAAUAAUUCAAUAAAAUAAAAAUAAAAAUUUAAAAAUC